This 253-nucleotide ribosomal RNA is filed under the name uncultured bacterium. RNAcentral describes it as "partial 16S ribosomal RNA". It matches the Rfam family "Bacterial small subunit ribosomal RNA", at positions 524 to 776 of the family's 1533-position model. The record is from RNAcentral.
UACGUAGGGGGCAAGCGUUGUCCGGAAUUAUUGGGCGUAAAGCGCGUGUAGGCGGUCCGGUAAGUCGGCUGUGAAAGUCCAGGGCUCAACCCUGGGAUGCCGGUCGAUACUGCCGGACUAGAGUGCGGAAGGGGCAACUGGAAUUCUUGGUGUAGCGGUGAAAUGCGUAGAUAUCAAGAGGAACACCUGCGGCGAAGGCGGGUUGCUGGGCCGACACUGACGCUGAGGCGCGAAAGCUAGGGGAGCGAACGGG